Molecule: non-coding RNA, 70 nt
Organism: Harpegnathos saltator (Jerdon's jumping ant)
Lineage: Eukaryota; Metazoa; Arthropoda; Insecta; Hymenoptera; Formicidae
Source: Rfam
CGUCAGGUAGCUCAGUUUAGAGCAGUCGCCCGGCAAGCGAAAGACCCGGGUUCGACUCCCCGUCUAGCGA